CAGGUCAGAACUGCUCUGGCUGCACAAGAGGAGCCUGCCUGCACAGUAUGAACGCUCCAGUCGAGCUGUAAUGGCCUAGAAUGUUGCAUCCUAACCUCGAUCCGACCCAGCUGAGGAGACAAGAUGUUACCACACAGGACAGCAGCACAGUGCGAGGACUCGGGAGGUCUCUGCGUGAAUCUUUUAAAAAAAAAAAAAAAAAAAGCAAUGAAGGCCCCUCAGGGAGCUUUCAAAGAAAAGUGGGCCCUGCACCCUGUAACCUGAACUCACAGGGGAAUUACGAUUAGAGCUGGGAAAAUAAAGAACUCCAAAGAUA
Long non-coding RNA from Acanthopagrus latus (yellowfin seabream), 316 nucleotides. RefSeq lists it as uncharacterized. The transcript has 2 exons. Lineage: Eukaryota; Metazoa; Chordata; Actinopteri; Spariformes; Sparidae. The record is from RefSeq and is a predicted model, not a curated record.